AUUGAACGCUGGCGGCAGGCCUAACACAUGCAAGUCGAACGAGUGGCGGACGGGUGAGUAAUGACUGGGAAACUGGCUGAUGGAGGGGGAUAACUACUGGAAACUGUAGCUAAUACCGCAUACCAUCGGAUGAGCCCAGAUGGGAUUAGGUAGUAGGUGGGGUAAAGGCUCACCAAGGCGACGAUCCCUCGCUGGUCUGAGAGGAUGACCAGCCACACUGGAACUGAGACACGGUCCAGACGCCUACGGGAGGCAGCAGGGGGGAAUAUUGCACAAUGGGGGCAAGCCUGAUGCAGCCAUGCCGCGUGUAUGAAGAAGGCCUUCGGGUUGUAAAGUACUUUCAGCGGGGAGGCGUUACCCGCAGAAGAAGCACCGGCUAACUCCGUGCCAGCCGCCGCGGUAAUAC
RNAcentral lists this ribosomal RNA (406 nucleotides) under uncultured bacterium. RNAcentral's name for it is "partial 16S ribosomal RNA". It matches the Rfam family "Bacterial small subunit ribosomal RNA", at positions 29 to 526 of the family's 1533-position model. The record is from RNAcentral.